This 751-nucleotide long non-coding RNA is filed under the name Homo sapiens (human). RNAcentral's name for it is "HSALNT0359414". Lineage: Eukaryota; Metazoa; Chordata; Mammalia; Primates; Hominidae. The record is from RNAcentral.
CCUGGCCUGCCAGGACCCAGAGGGAGCGGAGCACGCGCCUUUGGGAAUCUUCGGUGCGCCAAGUCUGUUCGCCGCCGGGGUCUAUCACCCCCGCCCCUCGCCUCUGCCCGUGAGCGUCAGCUGGCUUGGCUUUUUCAGAGGAAACAGAGACUCUCAGACAUGAAUACUGUGACACUGACCACCAGGCCAACUUAACAUCAGCAGAUAUCCUGUCUCAGAUGAAGAGAUGGAGUCUCGCACUGUCGCCCCAGUUGGAGUGUAAUGGUGCGAUCUCGGCUCACUGCAAGCUCCGCCUCCCGGGUUCAUGCCAUUCUCCUGCCUCAGCCUCCUGAGUAGCUGGAACUACAGGUGCCCGCCACCACGCCCGGCUAAUUUUUUAAUGGCCUGUCCAGAAGACAGCCAAAUACAUCCUUCAAACAGACUUCACUGCAGGAGACAGAGUGGAUUCAUCCUGUAUUCUCCAUGUAGACUUCCAUCUUCAUGAGUACUCCAAGAAGAUGGUUCAGUUGACUAUUGCAAAGUCUCAGGUAUGUCUUUAUCAGCAGCAUGAAAAUGGACUAAUAGUACCAGUAGAGUGGGGCAUUGCUGAAAAGAUACCCGAAAAUGUGGAAGCAACUUUGGAACUGGGUGUUGAAAUAAUCUGGAGGGCUCAGAAGAAGAUAGGAAAAUGUAGGAAAGUUUGGAACCUCCUAGAGACUGUGAAUGGCAUUGACAAAAAUACUGAUAGUGAUAUGAACAAUAAGGUCCAGGC